AGUCUUAUAUUCAAUAAUGAUGUAAAAUUGCAAAUUUUAAGGAGUAAAAUACAAUUACUAAGGCUU
This 66-nucleotide transfer RNA is filed under the name Notonagemia analis scribae. RNAcentral describes it as "tRNA-Cys". The record is from RNAcentral. Lineage: Eukaryota; Metazoa; Arthropoda; Insecta; Lepidoptera; Sphingidae.